UACGGGGGAUGCAAGCGUUAUCCGGAUUUAUUGGGUUUAAAGGGUGCGCAGGCGGAAUGUCAAGUCAGCGGUAAAAUUUCGGGGCUCAACCCCGUCGUGCCGUUGAAACUGACACCCUUGAGUGAGUGAGAAGUAAGCGGAAUGCGUGGUGUAGCGGUGAAAUGCAUAGAUAUCACGCAGAACCCCGAUUGCGAAGGCAGCAUACCGGCGCCCGACUGACGCUGAGGCACGAAAGUGCGGGUAUCGAACAGG
Molecule: ribosomal RNA, 252 nt
Filed under: uncultured Bacteroidales bacterium
Lineage: Bacteria; Pseudomonadati; Bacteroidota; Bacteroidia; Bacteroidales
Description: partial 16S ribosomal RNA
Rfam family: Bacterial small subunit ribosomal RNA
Source: RNAcentral